Molecule: non-coding RNA, 23 nt
Filed under: Arabidopsis thaliana (thale cress)
Lineage: Eukaryota; Viridiplantae; Streptophyta; Magnoliopsida; Brassicales; Brassicaceae
Source: RNAcentral
UGAGAAGUUCGCCGGAAUCGAAA